UACGGAGGGUGCGAGCGUUGUCCGGAAUCACUGGGCGUAAAGGGCGUGUAGGCGGGAAGGAAAGUCGGGCGUGAAAUCCCUGGGCUCAACCCAGGAACUGCACUCGAAACUUCUUUUCUUGAGUGCCGGAGAGGAAAGCGGAAUUCCUGGUGUAGAGGUGAAAUUCGUAGAUAUCAGGAGGAACACCAGUGGCGAAGGCGGCUUUCUGGACGGUAACUGACGCUGAGACGCGAAAGCGUGGGGAGCAAACAGG
This 253-nucleotide ribosomal RNA is filed under the name uncultured bacterium. Its description in RNAcentral is "partial 16S ribosomal RNA". It matches the Rfam family "Bacterial small subunit ribosomal RNA", at positions 524 to 776 of the family's 1533-position model. The record is from RNAcentral.